AACGAACGCUGGCGGCGUGCCUAACACAUGCAAGUCGAACGAGAAAGGGGCUUCGGCUCCGAGUAAAGUGGCGCACGGGUGAGUAACACGUAGGUAACCUGCCUCUAAGAUUGGGAUAACCUGUCGAAAGACGAGCUAAUACCAAAUAAGACCACAGUCUCUUCGGGGACAGGGGUCAAAGGUAGCCUCUAUUUAUAAGCUAUCGCUGAGAGAUGGGCCUGCGUACCAUUAGCUAGUUGGUGAGGUAACGGCUCACCAAGGCAAAGAUGGUUAGCUGGUCUGAGAGGAUGAUCAGCCACACUGGAACUGAGACACGGUCCAGACUCCUACGGGAGGCUG
RNAcentral lists this ribosomal RNA (339 nucleotides) under uncultured Pseudomonadota bacterium. Its description in RNAcentral is "bacterial SSU rRNA". It matches the Rfam family "Bacterial small subunit ribosomal RNA", at positions 29 to 351 of the family's 1533-position model. Lineage: Bacteria; Pseudomonadati; Pseudomonadota. The record is from RNAcentral.